UGCCCUUGACAUACUCGGAACUUUCCAGAGAUGGAUUGGUGCCUUCGGGAACCGGGAUACAGGUGGUGCAUGGCUGUCGUCAGCUCGUGUCGUGAGAUGUUGGGUUAAGUCCCGCAACGAGCGCAACCCUUGCCCUAUGUUGCCAGCGGGUAAUGCCGGGGACUCAUGGGGAACUGCCGGUGAUAAACCGGAGGAAGGUGGGGAUGACGUAUAGGAGCUCGAC
RNAcentral lists this unclassified non-coding RNA (223 nucleotides) under uncultured bacterium. RNAcentral describes it as "contains 16S-23S intergenic spacer region". It matches the Rfam family "Bacterial small subunit ribosomal RNA", at positions 976 to 1199 of the family's 1533-position model. The record is from RNAcentral.